RNAcentral lists this transfer RNA (88 nucleotides) under Affinundibacterium amnicola. RNAcentral describes it as "tRNA-Ser". It matches the Rfam family "tRNA". From Rfam's summary of the family: Transfer RNA (tRNA) molecules are approximately 80 nucleotides in length. Their secondary structure includes four short double-helical elements and three loops (D, anti-codon, and T loops). Further hydrogen bonds mediate the characteristic L-shaped molecular structure. tRNAs have two regions of fundamental functional importance: the anti-codon, which is responsible for specific mRNA codon recognition, and the 3' end, to which the tRNAs corresponding amino acid is attached (by aminoacyl-tRNA synthetases). tRNAs cope with the degeneracy of the genetic code in two manners: having more than one tRNA (with a specific anti-codon) for a particular amino acid; and 'wobble' base-pairing, i.e. permitting non-standard base-pairing at the 3rd anti-codon position. Lineage: Bacteria; Pseudomonadati; Pseudomonadota; Betaproteobacteria; Burkholderiales; Oxalobacteraceae. The record is from RNAcentral.
GGAAGUGUGGCAGAGUGGUCUAUUGCAUCGGUCUUGAAAACCGAAGGGUCGAAAGGCUCCGUGAGUUCGAAUCUCACCACUUCCUCCA